Molecule: ribosomal RNA, 765 nt
Filed under: Escherichia coli
Lineage: Bacteria; Pseudomonadati; Pseudomonadota; Gammaproteobacteria; Enterobacterales; Enterobacteriaceae
Description: partial 23S ribosomal RNA
Rfam family: Bacterial large subunit ribosomal RNA
Source: RNAcentral
CAGUGAAAUUGAACUCGCUGUGAAGAUGCAGUGUACCCGCGGCAAGACGGAAAGACCCCGUGAACCUUUACUAUAGCUUGACACUGAACAUUGAGCCUUGAUGUGUAGGAUAGGUGGGAGGCUUUGAAGUGUGGACGCCAGUCUGCAUGGAGCCGACCUUGAAAUACCACCCUUUAAUGUUUGAUGUUCUAACGUUGACCCGUAAUCCGGGUUGCGGACAGUGUCUGGUGGGUAGUUUGACUGGGGCGGUCUCCUCCUAAAGAGUAACGGAGGAGCACGAAGGUUGGCUAAUCCUGGUCGGACAUCAGGAGGUUAGUGCAAUGGCAUAAGCCAGCUUGACUGCGAGCGUGACGGCGCGAGCAGGUGCGAAAGCAGGUCAUAGUGAUCCGGUGGUUCUGAAUGGAAGGGCCAUCGCUCAACGGAUAAAAGGUACUCCGGGGAUAACAGGCUGAUACCGCCCAAGAGUUCAUAUCGACGGCGGUGUUUGGCACCUCGAUGUCGGCUCAUCACAUCCUGGGGCUGAAGUAGGUCCCAAGGGUAUGGCUGUUCGCCAUUUAAAGUGGUACGCGAGCUGGGUUUAGAACGUCGUGAGACAGUUCGGUCCCUAUCUGCCGUGGGCGCUGGAGAACUGAGGGGGGCUGCUCCUAGUACGAGAGGACCGGAGUGGACGCAUCACUGGUGUUCGGGUUGUCAUGCCAAUGGCACUGCCCGGUAGCUAAAUGCGGAAGAGAUAAGUGCUGAAAGCAUCUAAGCACGAAACUUGCC